GAUGAACGCUGGCGGCGUGCCUAAUACAUGCAAGUCGAGCGAACAGACGAGGAGCUUGCUCCUCUGACGUUAGCGGCGGACGGGUGAGUAACACGUGGAUAACCUACCUAUAAGACUGGGAUAACUUCGGGAAACCGGAGCUAAUACCGGAUAAUAUAUUGAACCGCAUGGUUCAAUAGUGAAAGACGGUUUUGCUGUCACUUAUAGAUGGAUCCGCGCCGCAUUAGCUAGUUGGUAAGGUAACGGCUUACCAAGGCAACGAUGCGUAGCCGACCUGAGAGGGUGAUCGGCCACACGGGAGCUGAGACACGGUCCAGGCUCCUACGGGAGGCAGCAGUAGGGAAUCUGCCGCAAUGGGCGAAAACCUGACGGAGCAACGCCGCGUGAGUGAUGAAGGUCUUCGGAUCGUAAAACUCUGUUAUGAGGGAAGAACAAAUGUGUAAGUAACUAUGCACGUCUUGACGGUACCUAAUCAGAAAGCCACGGCUAACUACGUG
Molecule: ribosomal RNA, 497 nt
Filed under: uncultured bacterium
Lineage: Bacteria
Description: partial 16S ribosomal RNA
Rfam family: Bacterial small subunit ribosomal RNA
Source: RNAcentral